Molecule: ribosomal RNA, 954 nt
Filed under: Karlingiomyces sp. JEL607
Lineage: Eukaryota; Fungi; Chytridiomycota; Chytridiomycetes; Polychytriales
Description: eukaryotic LSU rRNA
Rfam family: Eukaryotic large subunit ribosomal RNA
Source: RNAcentral
GAAACUAACAGGAUUCCCCUAGUAACGGCGAGUGAAGCGGGAAUAGCUCAAAUUUGAAAUCUUUCAGCUUUGCUGAACGAAUUGUAGUUUAUAGAGGCAUUUUCGGGGAUGAUUGAGGUAUAAGUCCUUUCGAAUAAGGCAUCAUAGAAGGUGAUAAUCCUGUUCAUGAUCUCAAAUUUCAUCCCUAUGUGAUAUGUCUUCGAAGAGUCGGGUUGUUUGGGAAUGCAGCCCUAAAUGGGUGGUAAAUACCAUCUAAAGCUAAAUAUUGGUAGGAGACCGAUAGCGCACAAGUACCGUGAGGGAAAGAUGAAAAGAACUUUGAAAAAAGAGUUAAAAGUACGUGAAAUUGUCAAUAGGGAACGGUUUAGAACUAUUGUUUGUGUUAAUUGUUCCAAAUUUCCAUUUCUUUUGGAGGUUGCACCGCAGUUAACACAGGUCAACAUCAGUUUUGUUUGGAGUAAAAAACCAAUGUUUUAUAUCUUCGGAUGUAAGCUUUGGUGCUGCUCUGGGUGAGACUGAGGACUGCAGCGUAGCCUUAAGGUUACUAGGCAUUCCUGUAAAAAUGCAGUUGUACAUCAACUUGUUGAUUGCGAUUGUAGUUUUGCAGUGUGUUUAGUAUUUUCUCUACUAUGCUUAGGAUGUUGACAAAAUGGUUUUAAGCCACCCGUCUUGAAACACGGACCAAGGAGUCUAACAUAUAUGCGAGUGUUUGGGUGACAAACCCAUACGCGAAAUGAAAGUGAAUAAGAUGGGAUCCGUAAGGUGCACCAUCGACCGGUCUAGAGAUUUAUCAAAAGAUCUGAGUUAGAGCAUAUCUGUUAGGACCCGAAAGAUGGUGAACUAAGCCUGAAUAGGGUGAAGCCAGAGGAAACUCUGGUGGAAGCUCGUAGCGGUUCUGACGUGCAAAUCGAUCGUCGAAUUUGGGUUUAGGGGCGAAAGACUAAUCGAACCAUC